This 379-nucleotide ribosomal RNA is filed under the name uncultured cyanobacterium. RNAcentral describes it as "bacterial SSU rRNA". It matches the Rfam family "Bacterial small subunit ribosomal RNA", at positions 376 to 770 of the family's 1533-position model. The record is from RNAcentral. Lineage: Bacteria; Bacillati; Cyanobacteriota.
CGAAAGCCUGACGGAGCAACGCCGCGUGAGGGAUGAAGGCCUCUGGGCUGGAAACCUCUUUUCUCAAGGAAGAAGAUCUGACGGUACUUGAGGAAUAAGCCACGGCUAAUUCCGUGCCAGCAGCCGCGGUAAUACGGGAGUGGCAAGCGUUAUCCGGAAUUAUUGGGCGUAAAGCGUCCGCAGGCGGCCUUGUAAGUCUGCCGUUAAAGCGUGGAGCUCAACUCCAUUUCAGCGGUGGAAACUACAAGGCUUGAGUGUGGUAGGGGCAGAGGGAAUUCCCGGUGUAGCGGUGAAAUGCGUAGAUAUCGGGAAGAACACCAGUGGCGAAGGCGCUCUGCUGGGCCAUAACUGACGCUCAUGGACGAAAGCCAGGGGAGCG